CUUUUUUUCUUUUCUAGAUUUUGUUACUUCCCCUCUUAACGAGGCGGCCAUCAUUGUUUUGACGAAACUCUCUCCUACAAAAAUGGAGUCAAAUGUCAACAACACGAUGAAGAAGGAGGACGUCUGCUUGGAAGUCAUCGUGACAAGCCUAAACACUUCUUUCAACAAAUCAGCCUCCAACAACGACAGUGCAAAUUCUAUACGCAUUGCCAGUGCUGAUACAUCACUAAAUGCAUCCCUCCCACCAAGUCCAUGGGAGUCGCGACGCAUUCGUGCCGAUUUAAUCGAAGCCAAGGCUUGUUAAAUUUAAACAAGAAAUCGAACGUCAACACAAAAUCGUCAAGAAAUGGAGCCAAUGUAUGAUAGUAAAGUUCGUGAACUCACUAAACAAUGUGAUUUCUCAUCCAACAAACUGCUAGACAUGGAAAAGUACAUGACUGUGAUGCGUAAGAGAGAACAACGUUCCAAAUCCGAAUUGACUGCUGCCAAGAGCGAACUCAAUGAACAAGAGUUAGCUUACGAAGAAACGAUUCAUGAGCUUCAGCGAACUAAUGCGGAAAUUGAAGAGAAUGCGAGACUCAUGCAACACGACUUGACCAAUGAAUUGAGUGAUUAUCGACGACAUUCAGAUAAUGAUACAGCUUUCUUUUAUUUCUCAAUUCUAUCAAAAUUUUGAAUGGAAGUUCAAAAUUCAAGUCAAGGAUGGAAUUAACAUAAUAUAUUGUUAAUUUUAGAGAAGAGGCUGAAUGGCAAAUUAAAAAUUUUGACAACUGGCGCAAUUCAGAAAAAGUGUUCAUAAAUUCAAAGUAAAAUACAUGCGCAUAUAGUUUUUCUGACAUUAGUCUGAUCGCAAAUGAGCAUGUAAACAAAGCAACCAUGCAACCAUGAAGGCACCCACUAUCCUUUCCUCCAAUAUGUCCAAUCAUAGUCAUC
This is a long non-coding RNA of Episyrphus balteatus (marmalade hoverfly), 933 nucleotides long. RefSeq lists it as uncharacterized. Lineage: Eukaryota; Metazoa; Arthropoda; Insecta; Diptera; Syrphidae. The transcript is spliced from 3 exons. The record is from RefSeq and is a predicted model, not a curated record.